CAGGAGGUGGAGGCAGUCCACGCUGGGCCCUGCAGUUCCGGGGCUGGUGCUCUAGCAGAUCCGCUCAGGCCCAGUUGGGUGACCAUGUGGUCACAGAUCAGGUGGAUUACUUCUAGGGCAGUGCUGGGUUCAUCUGUCAUUGGGUCUCAGUCUGGAAAGAGGACACAUCUUCCCACCACAAAUCCACACCUGGCCUCAGCUGCUGCCCGCUCUUUGCAGCGUGGACUUCCUUUACCCAUUUGGACCAGAAGGUCAUCAGGAGUUCUUACUGGUGUCAACUUGACAGCUCCAGCUUCCAGACAGAAAAUCCACUCUGCUUUGUACAGCCCUGUCCCAGAGUUAGUGAGCCUCAGCCUCAUCACCUGCUUGCAAAGAGUAUAGACGUUCUGGGUAGUUCUAGAGGAUAUCUCGGCAAGUGCAUUUGAAGGCUCAACACAGCUGGAAUCAUUUGGCAGUGAGCUUUUCAGAAUGACUGGACGGCCAUCUGUCCUGGAAAUCGUAGAAAGGAUUAUGAAUUGAAUAAAUCACUGAAAAUAGAACACUUCAUGGAGGCUUUCUUCAGAACUGAACUAGAAACAAGGUUUCCAGGCUCCCAGGUCAGAAGACCAAACCAACCUCCUUAGAUUAUUAUUUUUUUUUAAGCUGUUUGCAGAGAACUGGGUGGUAGCAAGACUGAAUCAAAUGGAAGAAGAGCCAACGGAGCGUGGACUGUUGAGCACGGGCCAGAUGGCCAGCUGUCGAGAGCAGCCCUGCCCAGAUUCUGGCAGGGGCUGCACCAGCGGCUUCACAGGGCCCUUCCAACUCUGGAGUGUCUGUAGUUCUUGUAAACCAAAACAUUGACUACCUGCCUCUUUGCCCUCGGGCAUUGACAUGCUCAUUUCCAAAGAUGAUAGUGCAGGUGACCUUUUCCAUCGUGAGCCAGGAGAACGUUAGGAGGCCUGAGGGGUGGGUCUUAGGUCCCCUCCUCCCCCUCCACAGCCCGAGACGUGGAAUUUCCCUCACAGACCCCAUCUGGUCGGGCCUACGGCUGCCCAGUGUACACUCAGUGAUGCUUAUACCAAAUAGGGCAUGUGCGCUGGAGUCUGUCAGGGACAGCCUGUCCCUACCUUGGAGUCGGCAGAGAAGCAGCAAUAAGUAUUAGGCAAAUGAUUGAAAGGGCUGCUGGGCUGAGAGGCCUUCAGUACCCUUAACGUGGCUUUCCAAGUUCCUGACGAGGCUACAAAGGCUCCACUCAUAAAAGAAAAUAAAUGUAAAUAAAUGGAAAACGAAGCCUCGAUGCGUGGUUUUUAAAGGGGGAUGAUGAAUGUGAAACCACCCACAGAAUGCGUUAAGAGUCUGGUUUUUCUGUGCUUUGUCAUUUUACUCCGAUAGGAACUUUUGUUACUUAACUCUGUGCAUAACUUAUUUAAUGUACUGUAUAAACGAACCAAAACUGUUAAAUAUGUAUCUAGUUUGUUCUACUUAAAGUAGUCAAUAAAAAGGCUAUAUUCCUUUUC
RNA transcript from Sapajus apella (tufted capuchin), 1496 nucleotides. RefSeq lists it as uncharacterized. The record is from RefSeq and is a predicted model, not a curated record. The transcript is spliced from 2 exons. NCBI's taxonomy places the organism in Eukaryota, Metazoa, Chordata, Mammalia, Primates, Cebidae.